This 53-nucleotide non-coding RNA is filed under the name Citrobacter rodentium ICC168. RNAcentral describes it as "ES003 sRNA". It matches the Rfam family "ES003 sRNA". Rfam says of the family: Differentially expressed under several chemical stress and fermentation conditions. The record is from Rfam by way of RNAcentral. Lineage: Bacteria; Pseudomonadati; Pseudomonadota; Gammaproteobacteria; Enterobacterales; Enterobacteriaceae.
GUUUGCCAGAAAUUCAGGUAAGCAGAUUUGCAUUGAUUCAUCCCUUACAAAUG